GCUUCCGAUCUCGGAGGAUGUAACAAGACGAGCGGUUGACGAAGCUGCAUUGUGUAGCCAGCCGGUUUAUCUUUUUAUGUUGUACAGUUUGUUAGUUUACCGUAAAUAUGUCUUGAUUUGUACUCAAGAGUGGAGCAAGGCCCUAUGGAACAGAGAUUGACGCAUCGUGAGCGAAGAACAGACGCGAUGGAUGGUUAGGCUGCUUGACUCUCGGCUGUACGACUCUCGGCAUGUUAGGACUGGCAAAGUUCCGAAUUUGUCGCGGUGUGGUGUACGCUUCUGUGCUCGUCAAGUGCCGUCAGAGCGCGGGGAUGUUUGAACGGAAUGUGUCCCUUCGUCUACAAAACUCUGCACGCUGCGGCAUCGAAGUCCUGUGUACGGGUGCACGUAUGCGCUUGGAUACGGGAUAGCCUGCCCUCAACGGAUGUUCAACAGUGUACGCACGCUGCGCGUACGCGUACGUAUGAGACUAGUUGCUGGUGUCCUGCUGGAGCUGAGAAGAGAUCUGCUGCCUGCCAUGAGACCAUGUCUCUCAAGUUACCGCAAUAUUGUUGCCUUCAAACCUGUCGAGACAAGGUUUCUGUACAUGGCCAUGGCGCUCAAGGAAGAAACCGAGACUGUAGACUGCCAACGUUCAUUCCUGUUCCGGCAAAGACGGGCCAGCAGUGACCAGCAGGAUUUUACAAAGUGAACUCAUCACAGCUUGAGCCACUCCAUGCCACAAGCAGUUGCUCCUCGAGCCACCGUGCAAAGGUUCCUUGGGGCACAAGUCCAACUCAGCGCCACAACCUUUCUUCUGCAGUUUUUCUACCUACUUAGCUAACCAGCAGCAAGUUUAUCCUUGCAAGGCAUGUGGGAACAGCUUUCACCAGGAAAAGUGCAAGACGAGUGGUCGAAGAAAAUAAAAUUGCUUCUGUGAUCUAAAGUACUUGACGAAUAAAAUUUUGCACUUAUUUGUAUAUAUGUCGUGCAAUUCAUUCAUAUCACAAAAAGCAAAGUGUUUGAUCUUUUGAGCUAUUUCAAUGUGUUGGCCAGACAGUUUUCUCCAUAGCGACCUGCUGCUUCUGCAAUGAGCUGCAUUCAUGACAUUUGCAUUAAAGGAUAUGUACUAUCGGGGACAAAAGUGCCCAGGACGUGCGAGUGUCGACCAAAUUGCAUCUCUGCACUAUCAGCCGCUAUCAUCUGCGUUGCAGACCACUUUCCGAAUGCAAAUGUUAGCGUGGCUGA
Dermacentor silvarum is the source of this 1227-nucleotide long non-coding RNA. RefSeq lists it as uncharacterized. The record is from RefSeq and is a predicted model, not a curated record. NCBI's taxonomy places the organism in Eukaryota, Metazoa, Arthropoda, Arachnida, Ixodida, Ixodidae. The transcript has 4 exons.